GAUGAACGCUGGCGGCGUGCCUAAUACAUGCAAGUCGAGCGAACAGACGAGGAGCUUGCUCCUCUGACGUUAGCGGCGGACGGGUGAGUAACACGUGGAUAACCUACCUAUAAGACUGGGAUAACUUCGGGAAACCGGAGCUAAUACCGGAUAAUAUAUUGAACCGCAUGGUUCAAUAGUGAAAGACGGUUUUGCUGUCACUUAUAGAUGGAUCCGCGCCGCAUUAGCUAGUUGGUAAGGUAACGGCUUACCAAGGCAACGAUGCGUAGCCGACCUGAGAGGGGGAUGGGCCACACGGGAACUGAGACACGUCCCAGACCCCAAGGGGAGGCAGCAUUGGGGAAUCUUCCGCAAGGGGCGAAAGCCGACGGAGCAACGCCGCGUGAGUGAUGAAGGUCUUCGGAUCGUAAAACUCUGUUAUUAGGGAAGAACAAAUGUGUAAGUAACUAUGCACGUCUUGACGGUACCUAAUCAGAAAGCCACGGCUAACUACGUG
Molecule: ribosomal RNA, 496 nt
Filed under: uncultured bacterium
Lineage: Bacteria
Description: partial 16S ribosomal RNA
Rfam family: Bacterial small subunit ribosomal RNA
Source: RNAcentral